Molecule: long non-coding RNA, 536 nt
Organism: Pogoniulus pusillus (Red-fronted tinkerbird)
Lineage: Eukaryota; Metazoa; Chordata; Aves; Piciformes; Lybiidae
Exons: 4
Source: RefSeq, a predicted model, not a curated record
AACUGUGAGCACAAGCAGCUCUUUUUUUUCUUUCCCCCUUCUCUUUCCUUGUUUUGUGUAACUCUGAGUUCACUCUUAACAGAUGUGAUUUUUCCUUGAUGUUGUAUAAAUUAGAAAUUGAGGCAGUGCUCUUUAAUUUGCACAUCUUUGCUUCUUGAGAAACUUGGACUUCAUGGUGUCUGGAGGUCUGUUUUGUGGCAUGUACCUGCUGAAGGUAGAAGAAGCUGAGAAAAUGGAAACUGAGCAGCUGAAAUACCAGAGCCUUGGAGAGUGCUGUUGUGGAUGGCAACGAGUGUGACUCAUCUGGCUAUAGAACUGGAAGUGUAAUAUUAAAGAAAAUAAAUAACAAGACUGAAAAGAGCAUUAAAUGAGGAAAUGAGGCACCAAUGUAUGAGACAGAGGUUAGUCUACUGCAUGAAUGAAAAGUAACCCUUCCUGAUCUGUACUGGCAGCCAAGAGUGAUGUCAGACCACAAACCUUUCAUAAAACCAUUGAGACAGCUUAGGAGUUUCCUGGUAGACUUGAGACACGAGCGG